Molecule: long non-coding RNA, 1208 nt
Organism: Macadamia integrifolia
Lineage: Eukaryota; Viridiplantae; Streptophyta; Magnoliopsida; Proteales; Proteaceae
Exons: 3
Source: RefSeq, a predicted model, not a curated record
UUUGAGACAGAUAAUUAACUGUCUUAAAUGAAAGAAAUUUUCGUUCAAAAUCCAAACCCUAAUUCCCUUCCCGCUCAAUUCUCUCAAAAAUCUCAAUUUCGUAUCAAUAUACUCUCUCUCUCUCUCUCUCCCUGCAAACCCUCAUCUCUCUGAACUCCCACCUUGCUCGCAUCCACGGUCACACCCUAAUGUUGUUGUUCCUCUUCUCCAUGUGUUGUUCCUCUUCUUCCAAAUUUCUCUUGCUGGUGAAAAUUUCUGUUGCUACAUUAGUUUCCCCAAUGACUUGAUUGAAACUUAUCCCCUUGCGCCUAAAAUUUUGGUUUUCCCGCGAUAUACUCCCGCGAUAUCCUUCUUCUUCUUCUUCUUCUUCUUAGCUACAUCAUCCUCUAAUUAGUUGUGGCUCCAAAGAAAUGAAAUGGUGUUAUUUUUCCCUCUCUCCCAUCAUCUCCCUGGGUAUCUAGGUCUGGAACUAUUUCUUGGUCCUCUGGUCCCCAAUAGCUUAAACCCCAAAUACUAGUACAUUAUUUUCCUCUCUCACUUCAAUUUCUUCUGAUUUUUGGUUAUUUGGUUCAUGACUUACAAUUAAAUCAUCACACAAGAGGAAUCCGUGGUGAAGGUGGAAGGAAUUUCAUCACUGCUCACUCAGAAGAUUGGGGUUUCACACCAGCAGAGAACAGACAGCAAGGAGCUCUUAUUGAUCUCUUGAGGCCGUCUUAAGAUGGGCAGACAUCAAUCUCAUUGGAGUCGAGGAACCGAGUAUAUUCCUAGAGGGGAAUUUAGAGGCAUAGCAAGCUAAAUAACUUGACUUGACCACGCCUUUUUCAGAGACAGAUGUCCUAAACAAAUUUUGACUGUGCGGCAGAUGUGGCUGGCCUGAAGCACCUUAAGAUGUAUGAUGUGUGUCGAGGUCUAUGCACAGUGCUUCAAGUCAUCGGAUGUGCUCUUUCAUCCCUGCCGUGCUUUAGAGGAGUCGGAUCUUGAACAAACAUGCUCGGCAAUGGAUAAUAGAUUUUAAUAUUUUUGAGCUAAAUAUUUGUGUUAAUUUAUAGUGAAUUCGAAAAGGCUUGCAUGCUACUGGAAUGCUGAGUCAAUAUUACUUUCUCUCCCUCUCCUCCUUUGAAAAUGACCCCAUGCCCGUCGCAUUCUAACACUCCCGAUUGAUUAAUGUUCUAAUUCCAAGAAAGAUAUGACAUGUCUAUCUUUCUCCC